Molecule: long non-coding RNA, 503 nt
Organism: Mesocricetus auratus (golden hamster)
Lineage: Eukaryota; Metazoa; Chordata; Mammalia; Rodentia; Cricetidae
Exons: 3
Source: RefSeq, a predicted model, not a curated record
CACAUUCCUAGCCCACGGUUUUAUUCUAUGUAGACAAACCAAUGAACCUUUCUUUUCAUCUCUUCUGCAUAGGUCAUAAUCGGAAGCACCCUACAGGGCCAGCCAGAUGACUCAUCAGAUAGAGGUGUUGGCUGACAAAACCUGACAGCCUGGAUUGGAUCCCUGGGACCCACAUGGUAGAAGGGGAGGACAGGCGUCCCCAUGCUGUCCCGUGACCUUCACAUACACGCUUUGGCGUGUGCACAUCCACCUACCAACCCAAAAUGCCAUUCUAAAACCCCAAAAAUAAGCCCUUUCCUACACUCCAGAUGACUGAGAGUCUCUUGGCUUUCCUCCUCACUCAGCCUCUGCCUCCCCUGGGGCAGAGACAUUUCCAUAUCAUCUCUACCUACAGUGGCCUCUAGGCUAAAAACUGACAAAACACAUUGAGAAGGCUCCUAAUUUAAUAAUUCUUAGAAAUCUGAUUUCUGCCUGGCGUUGGUGGCAUGCGCCUUCAAUCCCAG